Long non-coding RNA from Panthera uncia (snow leopard), 550 nucleotides. RefSeq lists it as uncharacterized. The record is from RefSeq and is a predicted model, not a curated record. The transcript has 2 exons. NCBI's taxonomy places the organism in Eukaryota, Metazoa, Chordata, Mammalia, Carnivora, Felidae.
CCCCCACUCCAGCCCUCCAGGAGAGGGGCGUUUGCCCUGCAGAGGCCCCGACCGGUGUUCCGGUCGCUGUUGGGGACUCGAGGAGGUCAUUUGGCUUCUCACGAGCCUCGUAUCUAACGGAAAAGGAGUAAAUUGGAAUAGAUUGGAUCGAUUUACGCUGUACCAAGAGAGUUCUGGGGAUCCCUCCACGCAAUAAGACAUGAGUUAGAAGCAGAGACAGAGAUGGAGAAAGAAUCCCAAGCAGGCACCACAACCAGAACAGAGCCUGAUGCAGGGCUCAAUCUCACAAACAGUGACCUGAGCUGAAAUCGAGAGAUGCCUAACUGACUGAGCCCCCCUGGCGCCCCCAACUGUUGUGAUUUUCUUAUUCAGCUGUGGUUCCACCGCACCUCAGACUAGUUUCACCAGUCCAAGGGGGUAAAAAUUUCUAUUUUGAGAUACCUAUCCAAUUUUCAAUUUCCUAAAUGCUUUUUUUUUUUUUUAAUGAAAUGAAUAAGGAUGAAUGGACAAGCACAGAGUACUGUUAGGGCAGUAAAACUAUUCUGUGAGA